UCCAUUAAUUCCAUUCCAGCCAUUACAAUGAGCAUGUCCUCCUAUAGCUCCUCCCACCAGCCUCCACUGCUACCCACCCCCAGUGAAGGGCCAUCCUGUAACCCAAUGACCCAGGAUUACACCAAAAGACCCUUGGGUCAUACCAUCUCUGGCCAUCGGCGGGGGUCAUAGGUCAUAGAUCAGAGGUCAUUGUACCAUCCCUGCUCUGCUCUCUGCAUCACCCUAUAAUAUCACAGACACAGUAGUCAUUAUCUAUGAAGUGCAAAACAACAAGUAUUUUUGAUUAGCAUUAUGCAACGAAUGUCAUAUCUCUGAAAAAUUUAUUACGUUUCCCCAUAUAAUAAAAACUGCUACAGCAGACAGUGAAACAUGUCUUGACAGAGGAUACUGUAUAGGAGAUUUCCAAGGUUGUCGCGAGAAGGGAAAAACCACACCCAAAGUUAGCUAGAUCCCUCACAGACAGACCGUUGUAUGUUUUUGAACGUUAAUAAUCGAAUAAAAUGAAAUUAAAAACAUGGCUAGCAUCUUCAAAACUGUUUUAAAAUACUAGUUAAAAAGAAUAAAGAAAGAAACCAGCAAGAGAAAAAGAAAAAAGCUAUAUGACAAUAAAAUAAAAUAAUAACAAUAAAAUCAAUCCAGUCACAAAUCCGAUAAAAUAAAAAUAAAAACAUUAUUACAGUAGUCAGAUGUCCAGUGGUUUAUAUAAUAAUAUAUUAGGCUGGUGUCAAAAAAAACAUAAUCUACAGUAAAAAAGUAAAAAUAACCAAAACAAGCUAUACAACACUACUAUAUACAGCACACAGCGUGUCUCUCUCUCGUAAGGGGAGAGCUGGUAAGUAUGUAAGGGAGAGGGAGACUGAAAACAGAGAUCUUGCUGUAACACAAGAGUCUUUCUUGGCACAGAAAACGGUAGUUACCAGCACAGACGGACGAGAGGAGAGGAGCUUCUCAAAGAUAAGGAGGACAGCACAGAGCAGUACUGCCUUCCCCACAGACACACACACACACACACACACACACACACACACAGACUGUACACACACACACACACACAGAGAGACUGUACACACACACACACACACACACACUGGGGAAAGAGCCAUUUUGUCACACAGAUACGUGGGCUGAUUGGGGGGGAAGUCACAGCAAUGUAGCCGUCACACAGACUAUUGUAACCCCUCAGGACUGGCUCCUCCCUUCCUCUCUCUCUAGCUACCCAUCCCCCUUUCCUUCUCCAGUCCUCCCCACAGGCUUAUAUUUGAUCUCUCACAGGAUACGAUAUCUGAUCAUUCACAGGGGUCAGGACACCUGCAGUUCCAGACCCCAGUCAGGGCUCGUCUAUAUAUAGGCUGACGGUCACAGUAUGGGGGUUAUGUAUCUGGAGCUGACCAAGACGUCUGGAACUCUGGAUCCAUUUCUCAGGCUCACUGGAAACUAGUCUGGAGGAAAUGGGAGAGCCACAGCCAGGACUGGAACAGGAGUGGGGCUGUGUAUUGUACAGUUGUUGUAUAUCCUCCCAACACUGAUAAAAUCAUUAACACACACACGCACGAGCGCACACACACACACAUGCACACACACACAAACAGAUAGAACACGUUUUUAUCUCUAUGCGCACACACACACUUUUGAAAAAAGUAAAAAGUAAAAGGGAACACUAUCUCCUCGUCGCAGACCCAUUUCUCUCUGAUAUAAAGUGACAGUUGGUUCAGUCCUGCUGGUUCAGAAAGUCUCUGUGGUCACAGGAGAACGUGGGGGGAAAACACAGCCUGUCUGACCUAUAUACACAGUCCCACUGACUGACACCCUGUUCAUCCAAUCAGGAUCCCCGGAUUCCCCCGGUUCCUACUGUUCAUCCAGUAGCAGCUUAGCUCUGUCCUCCAGGUGCUAGGUGAGCUGGAUAGGUGUAUAGUAGUUUGUGGUCAUAUUGUGGUUAUGGUUGGUUGGACCGCAGCCUGGGUGGGUUCACAGUUUGGGGUUAGUUCUCCAUGCAGGUGGAAAGAUGAGUAGAAGUGAGUCCAUGUUACUCAGUAGAGGUGAGUCCAGGUUACCCAGUAGAGGUGAGUCCAGGUUACUCAGUAGAAGUGCGUCCAGGUUACUCAGUAGAAGUGCGUCCAGGUUACUCAGAGGGAGGAGGGGUGGAGCAGAACACAGUGUUUAGACAAGGAGUAUUUUGGUUUUUGGGGUCCAGAGUCUUGGAGUAGAGCCAAUAUAGAGGGGGUACACACACACACA
Molecule: long non-coding RNA, 2235 nt
Organism: Coregonus clupeaformis (lake whitefish)
Lineage: Eukaryota; Metazoa; Chordata; Actinopteri; Salmoniformes; Salmonidae
Exons: 2
Source: RefSeq, a predicted model, not a curated record